RNAcentral lists this ribosomal RNA (497 nucleotides) under uncultured bacterium. RNAcentral describes it as "partial 16S ribosomal RNA". It matches the Rfam family "Bacterial small subunit ribosomal RNA", at positions 28 to 507 of the family's 1533-position model. The record is from RNAcentral.
GAUGAACGCUGGCGGCGUGCCUAAUACAUGCAAGUCGAGCGAACAGACGAGGAGCUUGCUCCUCUGACGUUAGCGGCGGACGGGUGAGUAACACGUGGAUAACCUACCUAUAAGACUUGGAUAACUUCGGGAAACCGGAGCUAAUACCGGAUAAUAUAUUGAACCACAUGGUUCAAUAGUGAAAGACGGUUUUGCUGUCACUUAUAGAUGGAUCCGCGCCGCAUUAGCUAGUUGGUAAGGUAACGGCCUACCAAGGCAACGAUGCGUAGCCGACCUGAGAGGGUGAUCGGCCACACUGGAACUGAGACACGGUCCAGACUCCUACGGGAGGCAGCAGUAGGGAAUAUUCCGCAAUGGGCGAAAGCCUGACGGAGCAACGCCGCGUGAGUGAUGAAGGUCUUCGGAUCGUAAAACUCUGUUAUUAGGGAAGAAAAAAUGUGUAAGUAAAUAUGCACGUCUUGACGGUACCUAAUCAGAAAGCAACGGCUAACUACGUG